AAGACUAUAGACCUGCGGAGUACCUGCGGAGGGAUCAUUAGUGAACGCCCUCACGGGCUUAUAACUAUUCCAAACCUCUGUGAGCCGUGCCCUUCGGGGCUAUUUUACAAACAUGGUGUAAUGAACGUCAUAUAUCAUAACAAAACAAAACUUUCAGCAACGGAUCUCU
RNAcentral lists this unclassified non-coding RNA (169 nucleotides) under soil metagenome. RNAcentral describes it as "partial contains 5.8S ribosomal RNA, internal transcribed spacer 2, and large subunit ribosomal RNA". The record is from RNAcentral.